Molecule: ribosomal RNA, 729 nt
Filed under: Rhizopus stolonifer
Lineage: Eukaryota; Fungi; Mucoromycota; Mucoromycetes; Mucorales; Rhizopodaceae
Description: eukaryotic LSU rRNA
Rfam family: Eukaryotic large subunit ribosomal RNA
Source: RNAcentral
CAUAUCAAUAAGCGGAGGAAAAGAAAAUAACAAUGAUUUCCCUAGUAACGGCGAGUGAAGAGGAAAGAGCUCAAAGUUGGAACCUGUUUGGCCUAGCUAAACAGGAUUGUAAACUGUAGAAGUGUUUUCCAGGCAAUCCGAGUUAAUAAGUCCUUUGGAACAGGGCAUCAUAGAGGGUGAGAAUCCCGUCUUUGAUUCGAGAUAUUUUGUCUUUUGCGAUACACUUUCAAAGAGUCAGGUUGUUUGGGAAUGCAGCCUAAAUUGGGUGGUAAAUCUCACCUAAAGCUAAAUAUUGGCGAGAAACCGAUAGCGAACAAGUACCGUGAGGGAAAGAUGAAAAGAACUUUGAAAAGAGAGUUAAACAGUAUGUGAAAUUGUUAAAAGGGAACCGUUUGGAGCCAGACUGGCUCGUCUGUAAUCAAUCUAGGUUUCGUGCCUGGAUGCACUUGCAGACUAUUUGCCUGCCAACGACAAUUUUUUUUGAGUGUAAAAACUAUUGGAAAUGUGGCCAAUAUUUAUUUAUUGGUGUUAUAGUCCUUUAGAAAAUACCUUGAAUUGGAUUGAGGAACGCAGCGAAUGCUUCUCUUUUGAGGCAAAGUCUUUUAUUGGGAUUUACGGAUCAGACUGUGGCAUUGUCACAAGACUUGAAGUUUAAACCUAUUUUUGAACUUUUAUUCGCUUAGGUUGUUGGCUUAAUGACUCUAAAUGACCCGUCUUGAAACACGGACC